Molecule: long non-coding RNA, 526 nt
Filed under: Elaeis guineensis (African oil palm)
Lineage: Eukaryota; Viridiplantae; Streptophyta; Magnoliopsida; Arecales; Arecaceae
Description: long non-coding RNA (EGUI_LNC075154)
Source: RNAcentral
UUGGGUUCAUCAAAAAGGGACAUUCUUCCAUGAUGUGGUCUGUGGCAUUACAUCCAUUACAAGUAAAUGUUAAAACUUGGUUCACUUGGGUGUGUCCCUUGAGUUUUAAGGCCUUUAACCUACGUAGUAUAGUAUCUAUUUUGGCCUCUGUAGCUAGGGAUGUGGAUACUUGGUGCAUAGCACCUCUUGUAGGUUCCCUAGUUGCUUCCCACUGCAGGCUCUUUUCUGCUAGGUCCUCUAAGAAUUGUCAGGCUUCAUUGGCUUUCUUAUGCAUAAACUGGCCCUGACACAUUAACUCUAGCAUGGUUCUAAAGUUUGGGUCUAGUCCCUCAUAGAAGGUUUGGCAUAGUUUUCAAGUCUCAAUUUCAUGGUCUGGGCAUUGGGUUAAAAGGUUCUUGAAAUGAUCAAAACACUUCUAGAAAGACUCACCCCCAAAUUGAUAAAAUUGGUUAAUUUCAUUUCUUAACUUAGCUAUUUUAUGAUGUGAAAAAAAAUUUCUCAAAAAAGUUUUUACAAAUCCAUCCCA